RNAcentral lists this ribosomal RNA (235 nucleotides) under uncultured bacterium. Its description in RNAcentral is "partial 16S ribosomal RNA". It matches the Rfam family "Bacterial small subunit ribosomal RNA", at positions 574 to 808 of the family's 1533-position model. The record is from RNAcentral.
AGCGGCUAUUCAAGUCAGAGGUGAAAGCCCGGGGCUCAACCCCGGAACUGCCUUUGAAACUAGAUAGCUUGAAUCCAGGAGAGGUGAGUGGAAUUCCGAGUGUAGAGGUGAAAUUCAUAUAUAUUCGGAAGAACACCAUUGGCGAAGGCGGCUCACUGGACUGGUAUUGACGCUGAGGUGCGAAAGCGUGGGGAGCAAACAGGAUUAAAUACCCUGGUAGUCCACGCCAUAAACG